This is a non-coding RNA of Macaca mulatta (Rhesus monkey), 1075 nucleotides long. The record is from RefSeq and is a predicted model, not a curated record. Lineage: Eukaryota; Metazoa; Chordata; Mammalia; Primates; Cercopithecidae.
UCCUGGAAUCAGAGCCAAGAAAUCUGGGCUGCAGCUACUGGCUCUGACUGGCUGCCCCUUCUGUCUUUACCUCCCUGACCUUCAACCUCUGUAUCUAUGAACUGAGGGAUGCAGUCCCUGCUGGGCAUAUUCAGGGUCAAGCCAGACAAGCCCACUCCAAGGUGGGAGCACACUCUGCAGACAGAAAACACUGUCCCAGUUUAAGGAAUCGGGAUUUUUGCUGAGAGGCCCUCGGCGGUGCCCCUCCUGAGCCUGAGACCUUCUGGCAUCACCAAGUUGCAAUGGAAUGGACCGUGACUGUGGUUAUCUAUUUUUCUAGAUAAGGACACUCACAACAUUUUCCCUAGGCCCUCCUGCAAGAAAGUGGCCAGGCUGGCAGUCAGCACAGGCCUGGCCUCAAACCCACACUCCUGCCACCAAUAUACUUCUGCAGAAAGAGAAGGAAGGUGUGUUUAAUUGGGAACUCUGUUGUGCCUUGUGAAUAAAACCUGUAGAGGAAGCACAACUUGAAAUGGAAAAAUCUCUGGCCAGACCAGCUCAAUUUCCAAUGGCCUGGGACAUUAAAGUAGCCAGGUACCUGGAGAUUGCUAAAGCACUCUGAACAGACAUUCAACUCUAGCACUUCAUUUCCUUAACAAAGAUUGGAAUGAACAGAGAAAUGACACUGCAGGAAUCUAUUUUACAGACAAAGAUUGGAAAAAUAAGAGAAAAUGAAUUUCCGUCACUUCUAUGUGCAGAUUGAAGCUCUUCAAUUGCCCAGCCAAAUGUCACUGCAUUUACGUCAGCAUAUCAUGCUGCCAGGUCCAGAGGACAGGAAUCAGCUCACACCGGGGGGCCCCAGGCUCUUGCUGGCCCCAGUGCUUUGACUCACAACGGACAGCUCCCUAGGAUUUGGGGUCUGGGACAAUCCUUUGGGAAUUCUCUGGAAAUGCUGUCUACUGGCCCAGCCAAUCUUUUCCCAAUAGCAUUUAAUGGAGUCUGACACCUUCUAGGGCUUUAUGCUGAGGUGAACCUAUCACCUCCUUCCCACCACCCAGAUGCAGAAGUGGCCAAAUAAAUAAGCAACUUUACUACA